Molecule: ribosomal RNA, 492 nt
Filed under: uncultured bacterium
Lineage: Bacteria
Description: partial 16S ribosomal RNA
Rfam family: Bacterial small subunit ribosomal RNA
Source: RNAcentral
AGUGAACGCUGGCGGUAGGCCUAACACAUGCAAGUCGAACGGCAGCACAGUAAGAGCUUGCUCUUACGGGUGGCGAGUGGCGGACGGGUGAGGAAUACAUCGGAAUCUACUUUUUCGUGGGGGAUAACGUAGGGAAACUUACGCUAAUACCGCAUACGACCUACGGGUGAAAGCAGGGGAUCUUCGGACCUUGCGCGAUUGAAUGAGCCGAUGUCGGAUUAGCUAGUUGGCGGGGUAAAGGCCCACCAAGGCGACGAUCCGUAGCUGGUCUGAGAGGAUGAUCAGCCACACUGGAACUGAGACACGGUCCAGACUUCUACGGGAGGCAGCAGUGGGGAAUAUUGGACAAUGGGCGCAAUCCUGAUCCAGCCAUACCGCGUGGGUGAAGAAGGCCUUCGGGUUGUAAAGCCCUUUUGUUGGGAAAGAAAAGCAGCAGGUUAAUACCCCGCUGUUCUGACGGUACCCAAAGAAUAAGCACCGGCUAACUUCGUG